Cebus imitator (Panamanian white-faced capuchin) is the source of this 687-nucleotide long non-coding RNA. RefSeq lists it as uncharacterized. Lineage: Eukaryota; Metazoa; Chordata; Mammalia; Primates; Cebidae. The transcript has 3 exons. The record is from RefSeq and is a predicted model, not a curated record.
AUGCACGUGGUUUCUCCAGUCAUGACCCAGUAGAGCAGCGAGAAGAACCAUAUCUGGCAGCAACACAGGUCUUUACCAGGAAGGUAGGGUAAGAAAGAGCAGAAACUAAUUUGUGAGCAACAGAGGAAAUGUCCAAAUGCUUCACCCAACUUCAGUGGGAGUGACUGAAGUGUGCAGACUCUUGGUGGCUGGGGUAAGCUGAGACUUGUUUGUCCACACAGGCAGGACACCACAUACGGACUACAAAAGCAAUUGCCAACCUUCUCAUUGGUUUUCAAACUUCCAGUUUAGCAACUAUCAUCCAGUCUCUUAAGAUGUCUGUUCAUCUAGUUCAUGGAAAACUGGAAGCUAUCAACACCCACCAGAUGUGAUUUAGGAUCUUGAGAUGAGAAGACUUUCCUGAAAAAUGCAACCAUACUCAUCUUUACAAUAUGGAGGCAAAGGGAUAUUGACACACAUAAACACAGAGGAGAAGGUGACAAGAAGAUGAAGAAGAGAGAGAUGUGAAGAGGCUAGCCUUGAAGAUUGAAGUGUUGUGGCAUCUGGUUUCCAGCCAAGGAAUGCUGGCACCCAUCCAAAGCUAGAAGAGGCAAGGAAUAGAUUCUUCCCUGGAGCCUCAGGAAGGAGCUUGGUCCUGUUGACACCUCAAUUCCUCUGCCUAGUGAUAAUGAUUUUUAACUAGUGUAA